Odocoileus virginianus texanus is the source of this 398-nucleotide non-coding RNA. The record is from RefSeq and is a predicted model, not a curated record. NCBI's taxonomy places the organism in Eukaryota, Metazoa, Chordata, Mammalia, Artiodactyla, Cervidae.
UACCGUAAUCAAGCCCUUCCCCGCAGGCUUGUCAUUCAUCAGCAGCAGAGGCCGAGUUAUCUUCUUGCUGGAGACGAUCUGGAGGCUGAGCAGAGCAGUCAUCACAGUUCCCAAGUAAAACGGGAGGCUCAGAAGGCCGUGGGACUUGCCCUAGAGCCCAGAACUGUUAAUAGUGAUCGGAACUUGCGUCAGGAAGUCUUAGACCUGCAACUUCCAUGAGCACACCAGAGAGUGAGCCGGAGGGGGAAGUGUAACCCAGAGAAGGAAAGAAAGUUGCCCAAGGUCACACGGGAAUCCCCAGCUCCCGCUCCAAGUACUUCCAAGGGCCUGACCCCAGGGAGGCAGGGGGAGCGCUCCCCAGCGACUGCGUCGCCCACCACCCUGGGCAGCCGCACACC